GACGAACGCUGGCGGCGUGCCUAAUACAUGCAAGUAGAACGCUGAAGGAGGAGCUUGCUUCUCUGGAUGAGUUGCGAACGGGUGAGUAACGCGUAGGUAACCUGCCUGGUAGCGGGGGAUAACUAUUGGAAACGAUAGCUAAUACCGCAUAAUAGUAGAUGUCGCAUGACAUUUGCUUAAAAGGUGCAAUUGCAUCACUACCAGAUGGACCUGCGUUGUAUUAGCUAGUUGGUGAGGUAACGGCUCACCAAGGCAACGAUACAUAGCCGACCUGAGAGGGUGAUCGGCCACACUGGGAGUGAGACACGGCCCAGACUCCUACGGGAGGCAGCAGUAGGGAAUCUUCGGCAAUGGACGGAAGUCUGACCGAGCAACGCCGCGGGAGUGAAGAAGGUUGUCGGAUCGUAAAGCUCUGUUGUAAGAGAAGAACGAGUGUGAGAGUGGAAAGUUCACACUGUAACGGUAGCUUACCAGAAAGGGACGGCUAACUACGUG
Molecule: ribosomal RNA, 495 nt
Filed under: uncultured bacterium
Lineage: Bacteria
Description: partial 16S ribosomal RNA
Rfam family: Bacterial small subunit ribosomal RNA
Source: RNAcentral